AAUGAACGCCGGCGGCAGGCCUAACACAUGCAAGUCGAACGAGGUAGCAAUACCUAGUGGCGGACGGGUGAGUAACGCGUGGGAACGUGCCCCUUGGUACGGAAUAGCCCUGGGAAACUGGGAGUAAUACCGUAUGUGGUCGAGAGACGAAAGACUUAUCGCCAAGGGAUCGGCCCGCGUUGGAUUAGGUAGUUGGUGGGGUAAUGGCCUACCAAGCCGACGAUCCAUAGCUGGUUUGAGAGGAUGAUCAGCCACACUGGGACUGAGACACGGCCCAGACUCCUACGGGAGGCAGCAGUGGGGAAUCUUAGACAAUGGGGGAAACCCUGAUCUAGCCAUGCCGCGUGAUCGAUGAAGGCCUUGGGGUUGUAAAGAUCUUUCAGUGGGGAAGAUAAUGACGGUACCCACAGAAGAAGCCCCGGCUAACUCCGUGCCAGCCGCCGCCGUAA
Molecule: ribosomal RNA, 449 nt
Filed under: uncultured bacterium
Lineage: Bacteria
Description: partial 16S ribosomal RNA
Rfam family: Bacterial small subunit ribosomal RNA
Source: RNAcentral